GGGGCUGUAGCUCAGUGGUAGAGUGCCUGCCUAGCAUGCAUGAGGCACUGAGUUCAAUCCUCCGCACCACG
Molecule: transfer RNA, 71 nt
Filed under: Marmota monax (woodchuck)
Lineage: Eukaryota; Metazoa; Chordata; Mammalia; Rodentia; Sciuridae
Description: tRNA.Ala
Rfam family: tRNA
About the family: Transfer RNA (tRNA) molecules are approximately 80 nucleotides in length. Their secondary structure includes four short double-helical elements and three loops (D, anti-codon, and T loops). Further hydrogen bonds mediate the characteristic L-shaped molecular structure. tRNAs have two regions of fundamental functional importance: the anti-codon, which is responsible for specific mRNA codon recognition, and the 3' end, to which the tRNAs corresponding amino acid is attached (by aminoacyl-tRNA synthetases). tRNAs cope with the degeneracy of the genetic code in two manners: having more than one tRNA (with a specific anti-codon) for a particular amino acid; and 'wobble' base-pairing, i.e. permitting non-standard base-pairing at the 3rd anti-codon position.
Source: RNAcentral